Molecule: ribosomal RNA, 492 nt
Filed under: uncultured bacterium
Lineage: Bacteria
Description: partial 16S ribosomal RNA
Rfam family: Bacterial small subunit ribosomal RNA
Source: RNAcentral
GACGAACACUGGCGGCGCGCUUAACACAUGCAAGUCGAACGGAAAGGCCUGCUUUCCCUUGUGGAUUGCGGGUACUCGAGUGGCGAACGGGUGAGUAACACGUGAGUGAUCUGCCCCCAACUUGGGUAUAAGCCUGGGAAACUGGGUCUAAUUCCCGAUAGGACUGCAGGGUGGUGCCUGUGGUGGAAAACGAUUUUCUAGUGGUUGGGGAUGAGCUCGCGGCCUAUCAGCUUGUUGGUGGGGUAAUGGCCUACCAAGGCGGCGACGGGUAGCCGGCCUGAGAGGGUGGACGGCCACAUUGGGACUGAGAUACGGCCCAGACUCCUACGGGAGGCAGCAGUGGGGAAUAUUGCACAAUGGGCGGAAGCCUGAUGCAGCGACGCCGCGUGGGGGAUGACGGCCUUCGGGUUGUAAACUCCUUUCGACCGCGAGGAAGCCACCUGGUUGGAAGGGUGGUGACGGUAGUGGUAGAAGAAGCACCGGCUAACGACG